This 274-nucleotide ribosomal RNA is filed under the name uncultured bacterium. Its description in RNAcentral is "partial 16S ribosomal RNA". It matches the Rfam family "Bacterial small subunit ribosomal RNA", at positions 523 to 796 of the family's 1533-position model. The record is from RNAcentral.
AUACGGAGGGUCCAAGCGUUAAUCGGAAUUACUGGGCGUAAAGCGCGCGUAGGCGGUUUGGUAAGUCGGAUGUGAAAGCCCCGGGCUCAACCUGGGAAUUGCAUUCGAUACUGCCGAACUAGAGUAUGGUAGAGGGAAGUGGAAUUUCCGGUGUAGCGGUGAAAUGCGUAGAUAUCGGAAGGAACACCAGUGGCGAAGGCGACUUCCUGGGCCAAUACUGACGCUGAGGUGCGAAAGCGUGGGGAGCAAACAGGAUUAGAAACCCCGGUAGUCC